Molecule: ribosomal RNA, 1365 nt
Filed under: uncultured bacterium
Lineage: Bacteria
Description: 16S ribosomal RNA
Rfam family: Bacterial small subunit ribosomal RNA
Source: RNAcentral
CGCUAGCUACAGGCUUAACACAUGCAAGUCGAGGUGCAGCAUGGUCUUAGCUUGCUAAGGCCGAUGGCGACCGGCGCACGGGUGAGUAACACGUAUCCAACCUGCCGUCUACUCUUGGACAGCCUUCUGAAAGGAAGAUUAAUACAAGAUGGCAUCAUGAGUCCGCAUGUUCACAUGAUUAAAGGUAUUCCGGUAGACGAUGGGGAUGCGUUCCAUUAGAUAGUAGGCGGGGUAACGGCCCACCUAGUCUUCGAUGGAUAGGGGUUCUGAGAGGAAGGUCCCCCACAUUGGAACUGAGACACGGUCCAAACUCCUACGGGAGGCAGCAGUGAGGAAUAUUGGUCAAUGGGCGAGAGCCUGAACCAGCCAAGUAGCGUGAAGGAUGACUGCCCUAUGGGUUGUAAACUUCUUUUAUAAAGGAAUAAAGUCGGGUAUGGAUACCCGUUUGCAUGUACUUUAUGAAUAAGGAUCGGCUAACUCCGUGCCAGCAGCCGCGGUAAUACGGAGGAUCCGAGCGUUAUCCGGAUUUAUUGGGUUUAAAGGGAGCGUAGAUGGAUGUUUAAGUCAGUUGUGAAAGUUUGCGGCUCAACCGUAAAAUUGCAGUUGAUACUGGAUAUCUUGAGUGCAGUUGAGGCAGGCGGAAUUCGUGGUGUAGCGGUGAAAUGCUUAGAUAUCACGAAGAACUCCGAUUGCGAAGGCAGCCUGCUAAGCUGCAACUGACAUUGAGGCUCGAAAGUGUGGGUAUCAAACAGGAUUAGAUACCCUGGUAGUCCACACGGUAAACGAUGAAUACUCGCUGUUUGCGAUAUACAGCAAGCGGCCAAGCGAAAGCGUUAAGUAUUCCACCUGGGGAGUACGCCGGCAACGGUGAAACUCAAAGGAAUUGACGGGGGCCCGCACAAGCGGAGGAACAUGUGGUUUAAUUCGAUGAUACGCGAGGAACCUUACCCGGGCUUAAAUUGCAGAUGAAUUACGGUGAAAGCCGUAAGCCGCAAGGCAUCUGUGAAGGUGCUGCAUGGUUGUCGUCAGCUCGUGCCGUGAGGUGUCGGCUUAAGUGCCAUAACGAGCGCAACCCUUGUUGUCAGUUACUAACAGGUUCCGCUGAGGACUCUGACAAGACUGCCAUCGUAAGAUGUGAGGAAGGUGGGGAUAACGUCAAAUCAGCACGGCCCUUACGUCCGGGGCUACACACGUGUUACAAUGGGGGGUACAGAGGGCCGCUACCACGCGAGUGGAUGCCAAUCCCCAAAACCUCUCUCAGUUCGGACUGGAGUCUGCAACCCGACUCCACGAAGCUGGAUUCGCUAGUAAUCGCGCAUCAGCCACGGCGCGGUGAAUACGUUCCCGGGCCUUGUACACACCGCC